CCCCCGCAGUGUCAGAAUGGGCUGCAUGGUUCCAUGAGGCCCCAGUGUCACAAUGGUCCCUUGGAUCCAUCAAGCCCCACCCAGGGUCCAGGGUCACCAUGGUCCCCAUGUCACAUAAGGCUCUGCAGUGUCACAAGGGCCCCUUGGUUCUGUGAAGCCCACAGGGUCAGUUUUGCCAGUGGGCAGGAUCAGCACCAAAGACACAGAUACCAACUGAAGGAAUUGUGUAAUUUAUAUAAGAUCCACACAGCAGCUGGGGAAGCUGUCACAGCCAAGGGCUGCAGAGCCACUCCUGGACACUGGGAAUUCCUGCAGGUGCCUCCAGCUACAGGCACACCUGGCAGAACACAAUCAAUGACUGGAGUGACUUUACUGCAAGAGGACCUGCAAGACUUUUUGACUUUCAGCAGCUGCCUCUUUCUGCAGAGGAUUUUUACAGCCUGCCAGCCACUCAGGUCUUCUUGUCUUGGCUUCAUGUGGCACAGAAGGCACUGGAAAAGGAUUCUUCUCAUGCCCUGCAGAUCCCUGAAAAACCACCGAGAGAAAGCUGCUCAGAGAGAGAUGCCUAAAGCAAUUGCAAAGUCAGGCUUUCCUAAAUUCCCAGAGAAAAUGUUCAUUUCUCCCACGCAUACUCUAUGCACUGAGUCUCCCCCUUUGGCCUUCUUUCCCAGCAAUCCCUCCAGUAACUGAAAUGCCACCUUGGCUUCUCACCUGGCAGCUGACAGUGCUUUGCACCAUUCAACUUCUCCCAAGCACAGAGAAAUUCAGCAGCAGAUUUCCUUGCUCAAUAGCUGGGAGUGCAGUGAGGGCUGGAAGCAGGAAAAUGAUCAGGAAAAAGCAAGCAGUUAGAAGGCAGCUAAUGCACUGUGCACAGUCUGGCCUAAGACAGAACACUGACACAUGCUCCCUCACCCCCAAAUAUCAUAGACCCCAUGUCCCAAGCCAUCAUUAAACUGCCAAAUUUUUUAUAAAAAGCAAGUAAAUUCUAAUUUUUUAACCCAUAAAUGCAGCAAUUUCCUCCAAAUUAUAUACAACCUAAGGCCCAGAUUACAGUCCUUUUCUUUUUAUAAACACACUCCUUUUUAUACACACACUCCUUUUAGUUGCAGUUGCCUACAGUCAGAAAUGGUCACUUAUCUGAGAGGAUGUUUCUGCAGUGCAUCACACAGCAUGCCUGGGUUGAAGGAAUACUCCCAGCAGCCCUCCUGGAUACCAAUGGUGAUGGCCUGGGAUUGCUCCUCGGGGUCUUCCUCCACUUUCCUGUGCUUGGCAAAGAAUCCAUCCUGCUUCCUGACAGGGUUAUCCACGGCAGGCAGCUCCAGGUUGUCAGUCACAGCUCUGGGUCUCUUUUGCAUGGUGUCGUGGUUUGGCCCAGAAAUGUGUUUUUGGAAAGGUCUAAGUCGGGCCAAUCAGUGGCCAAAUUCAAAAUUGGCAUGUGAUAUGGCCACUGAGGUUUGGAUACGCCUCUGAGAACACACGGGGGUUAAAAGCAGGAGAUUCCCAGAGAACUUCCUCUUUGGGAAUCCGGCGUUGGUGAGUAGAGUCUGACCUCUCCCCUGCCCAGCUGCGUCUGGGUGGGGGAGGGGGAGGCCAUGAUGGGGAGGAGGCCGGGAGCCCCAAAAGGUGCAGAGGUGGAGGAGAACAUGCAGGGGUUGAUGAGAAUUGAGAUGUCUGGGCAGCCCCCCCGGAGAGAGAGACAGAAGUUGUGCUGGCAACUCAGCCGGCCAGAAGCGGGGGAUGCGUCGAGAGAAGGUGCCCGGCAGAUGUGGGAGUCCUUGGGCAGGCAGA
Molecule: long non-coding RNA, 1788 nt
Organism: Passer domesticus (house sparrow)
Lineage: Eukaryota; Metazoa; Chordata; Aves; Passeriformes; Passeridae
Exons: 4
Source: RefSeq, a predicted model, not a curated record